AACGAACGCUGGCGGCAUGCCUAACACAUGCAAGUCGAACGAGACCUUCGGGUCUAGUGGCGCACGGGUGCGUAACGAGUGGGAACCUGUCCUUAGGUUCGGAAUAACUACCCGAAAGGGGUGCUACUACCGGAUAAUGUCUUCGGCACACAGUUUUAUCGCCUUUGGAUGGGCCCGUGUUGGAUUAGCUAGUUGGUAUGGUAAAAGCCUACCAAGGCGACGAUCCAUAGCUGGUCUGAGAGGAUGAUCAGCCACACUGGGACUGAGACACGGCCCAGACUCCUACGGGAGGCAGCAGUGGGGAAUAUUGGACAAUGGGCGAAGGGCUGAUCCAGCAAUGCCGCGUGAGUGAUGAAGGCCUUAGGGUUGUAAAGCGCUUUUACCCGGGAGGAUAAUGACAGUACCGGGAGAAUAAGCUCCGGCUAACUCCGUG
This 433-nucleotide ribosomal RNA is filed under the name uncultured bacterium. Its description in RNAcentral is "partial 16S ribosomal RNA". It matches the Rfam family "Bacterial small subunit ribosomal RNA", at positions 29 to 507 of the family's 1533-position model. The record is from RNAcentral.